AUUGAACGCUGGCGGAAUGCUUUACACAUGCAAGUCGAGCGGCAGCACGGGGGCAACCCUGGUGGCGAGCGGCGAACGGGUGAGUAAUACAUCGGAACAUGCCCAGUCGUGGGGGAUAACACUUCGAAAGAAGUGCUAAUACCGCAUACGUCCUGAGGGAGAAAGCGGGGGAUCGCAAGACCUCGCGCGAUUGGAGUGGCCGAUGUCAGAUUAGCUAGUUGGUGGGGUAAAGGCCUACCAAGGCAACGAUCUGUAGCUGGUCUGAGAGGAUGAUCAGCCACACUGGGACUGAGACACGGCCCAGACUCCUACGGGAGGCAGCAGUGGGGAAUUUUGGACAAUGGGGGCAACCCUGAUCCAGCCAUUCCGCGUGAGUGAAGAAGGCCUUCGGGUUGUAAAGCUCUUUCGGCAGGAACGAAACGGUGAGCUCUAACAUAGCGCGCUAAUGACGGUACCUGAAGAAGAAGCACCGGCUAACUACGUG
This 484-nucleotide ribosomal RNA is filed under the name uncultured bacterium. RNAcentral describes it as "partial 16S ribosomal RNA". It matches the Rfam family "Bacterial small subunit ribosomal RNA", at positions 30 to 507 of the family's 1533-position model. The record is from RNAcentral.